This is a long non-coding RNA of Mytilus californianus (California mussel), 515 nucleotides long. RefSeq lists it as uncharacterized. The transcript is spliced from 4 exons. NCBI's taxonomy places the organism in Eukaryota, Metazoa, Mollusca, Bivalvia, Mytilida, Mytilidae. The record is from RefSeq and is a predicted model, not a curated record.
UAAAUAUCAGAUGUAUAGCAGCUAAUAUGGACCAUUAUUUAGAGCUCUGUAAAUAAAAAAUAAUGUAAGCAGAGCUCUAGAUAAUAUAUAUGUAGGGUGGGAGAAAUUAUGGGUCACUUCAAAUUAUUUGGUGAAAUUUUCAAAAAAGGUGAUUAAUUGAAAGUGCAUCUGAUAUUUUGUAUAUAUAUAACUUUACUUCUAAAACAAUAGGACAAAAAAAAUUGACAUUAGGACAAUGAGGAAAGCCACCUUGGCAGCCGGGAAAGCAGCUUUAAGGAAGAUGGUCAAAUAAAUCUUCAACCAUGUCUGAGGCUUUAUCAAGUAAAAUAUGUUGUUGUAAUAACAAUGUGUUCAUGGUGUUGGGAGUAAGACUUGGAUAUCUCAUACUGUUAACAUGUUGGUUAGCAUCAUGUUUCCAUAGGGUUACUUGAUGGGUAGUAAUUAGAGCUGUUUUAAGUUGAAAGUGUUUCUGUUGCUGCCCUUGUAUGGUAGAAUCCUCAGACAAUAAUCCUGCA